GAUGAACGCUGGCGGCGUGCCUAAUACAUGCAAGUCGAGCGAACAGAUGAGGAGCUUGCUCCUCUGACGUUAACGGCGGACGGGUGAGUAACACGUGGAUAACCUACCUAUAAGACUGGGAUAACUUCGGGAAACCGGAGCUAAUACCGGAUAAUAUAUUGAACCGCAUGGUUCAAUAGUGAAAGACGGUUUUGCUGUCACUUAUAGAUGGAUCCGCGCCGCAUUAGCUAGUUGGUAAGAUAACGGCUUACCAAGGCAACGAUGCGUAGCCGACCUGAGAGGGUGAUCGGCCACACUGGAACUGAGACACGGUCCAGACUCCUACGGGAGGCAGCAGUAGGGAAUCUUCCGCAAUGGGCGAAAGCCUGACGGAGCAACGCCGCGUGAGUGAUGAAGGUCUUCGGAUCGUAAAACUCUGUUAUUAGGGAAGAACAAAUGUGUAAGUAACUAUGCACGUCUUGACGGUACCUAAUCAGAAAGCCACGGCUAACUACGUG
RNAcentral lists this ribosomal RNA (497 nucleotides) under uncultured bacterium. Its description in RNAcentral is "partial 16S ribosomal RNA". It matches the Rfam family "Bacterial small subunit ribosomal RNA", at positions 28 to 507 of the family's 1533-position model. The record is from RNAcentral.